Molecule: ribosomal RNA, 199 nt
Filed under: uncultured bacterium
Lineage: Bacteria
Description: partial 16S ribosomal RNA
Rfam family: Bacterial small subunit ribosomal RNA
Source: RNAcentral
UACUCCUACGGGAGGCAGCAGUAGGGAAUCUUCGGCAAUGGGGGCAACCCUGACCGAGCAACGCCGCGUGAGUGAAGAAGGUUUUCGGAUCGUAAAGCUCUGUUGUAAGAGAAGAACGUGUGUGAGAGUGGAAAGUUCACACAGUGACGGUAUCUUACCAGAAAGGGACGGCUAACUACGUGCCAGCAGCCGCGGUAAU